GACGAACGCUGGCGGCGUGCUUAACACAUGCAAGUCGAGCGGUAAGGCCCUUUCGGGGGUACGACGAGCGGCGAACGGGUAGGAGUAACAACGUGGGUGGACCUCGCCCUCCAGCUCUGGGAGUAAAGACCCGGGAAACCGUAGGGUCGUAAUAACUGGAUAUGACUCCAUGACGCAUGUUGUGGGGUGGGAAAGACCUUGUGCGGC
This 207-nucleotide ribosomal RNA is filed under the name uncultured bacterium. Its description in RNAcentral is "partial 16S ribosomal RNA". It matches the Rfam family "Bacterial small subunit ribosomal RNA", at positions 28 to 219 of the family's 1533-position model. The record is from RNAcentral.